Molecule: long non-coding RNA, 9252 nt
Filed under: Gallus gallus (chicken)
Lineage: Eukaryota; Metazoa; Chordata; Aves; Galliformes; Phasianidae
Description: lncRNA (ENSGALG00010015609.1)
Source: RNAcentral
GGAAGAUGUUGAAAGCAGUGGACUGGGAUCCAGGGGAUGUAGAUUAAAUUCCUUGUCUCUGCUGCAAACUUCCUGUGUGGCCUGGAGCAAACUGCAGCACUUGGUCUGUGUUUUAGUUUCAGACACGUGUGGGGUGCAGCUAAUGAGCCCUUUCUCCUGCCCUUUGUCUCCUUACUCUUCUUAGAGAUGUUCUUUAGAGAAGGUCUGCAGAGAUUCUCUGGGGCACAUGGAAGUUUCAAUGGGAGGCCCAAAACACAGUAAGGUGUGUUUCUUUAGUGAAGAGAAGCUAGAGAACUUAAUCUCAUAUCACAGGAUCUGAAGCUGCCCAGCUGGAAGAGCAGAGAAUGGAAGUGUUGAGGGCAUUCAUGAGCAAGACAUGCCAGAUUCUGCUAUCACUCCUACUGGUAGCAGAUUGCUGCUGCACAAAGAGGAAAACAUCUCAGCCAGAAAAACUUCCUAGGCCAUGGCAGUAAAAUGGACAGAGAAGAGAGUCACCAGAAAGGAAGCGAGGAAACCAGAAACAAGACCACUGACACUUUGUUUCAUCCAAGGAAGUGGCAAAUCCUUUGACCUCCAAAAGGCAAACACCACCAGGAACUGCUCAGGGAACUUAGAAAGCUCAGCCUUCAAUCAAAUUGGCUUGAAACUGGCUAACUGAUUCAGAAGUUACUGGGAAGACACAAAGGUACACAAGUACAGUGUGAUAAUACAACCUCUGCUUGUUAUCAAAGCCAGGCUAAAAGAUAGUCUGAUUACUCCAAAGAAGAUAACAGAAACUGUCAGGAAUUGAUUGUUAUUUAUGGUCUGAUUUCAAGGUAGACUCUAAUUUACUUAAAAUACAUAUAUAUAUAUAUAUAUAUUUCAAAUCCAAGUUUGCACCCUGUAGACGUUUUAAAUAGUUAUGAAUUUGAAGAACUCUAAAUUUGCAGGAUUUGUUGAGAUUGAUUUGGAAGAAAACCUAUAAAAUUUAGAAACUAUGCAUUUCUUUUGACAACUAAUAAACUUGUAACUUCUAAUAACAGUGGGUCUCAAGCAAUCAAAAUAUAGCACUUUAAAAUACCUAUUUUAGCUAUUUUGUAGUACAAGAGUUUAGGAAAAAAAGUAUAUUAUUCCACACUAAAUGUUAUUAAAUGAAUGAUUCUCUAUGAAAACCAAAACCCUAAGGGAUUUUGUAUUAGAUUUGCAUAAAAAAAUCUUCACAUUUAUUCAAACUUUGCAGGUGCAUGAAAUAAACACAUUAUUUGAACACUACUGCCAAGCUUUGUGAAGGCUAAGGUGUAUUAUUAAAUUGUAGUGAAGCCUCUGGCUCAAGACACCAGAAACACUAGCACAACUCCAUUCAGUCAUUAGCACUGUGUUGGUAAAAAAAACUGGUUCACCAUCUAGAUGAAUAAUUCUCUGUGCUUUCAUCUCUGCCAUGCUGACUUGCUUUACUAAUUUGUUAUCCUCUUGAACGUUCAGAGGCAUUUUCACUUUUCUGUAUUUUCUAUCUUACAUUGCUUUCUGUUAAGUACCUGUAAGUGAUUCACUGGGGGAUGACAUAAGGUUUUUUCUGAAAUUGAACUAUUGCUUUGUUUGCUGUAGAGAAUAUUAAAUUAAAUCAGCUUCUAAGACAAAAAUGAGCAGUUCGUAUAAAACUUGCUCUGAAAGGUUAAUGAAUAUCAGAAAUCCUCCCAAGUGAAGGAAGGGAGACUAUACCUAGCCAAUAUAAAACUUAUGCAGCAAAACCUGCUCCUUUAAUGUAAUUCUUCUGAUUUCAGUGAGGUUACACUCAGAAUAAAUUUGACCUGAAUUAAUCAAACCUAUCCUAUUUUCAGGAGAGGUCCAAUAUCCAACAAGGAAACAAUACCCUUCACACGCCAGUAGUUUAUUGGCAAAGUCAAGGUCAUUGUGUGGUCAUAAAACAGUAUGGCUUAUUUCUGCUAUGACAUCUGUUUGACUAGCUCAAACCAAAAUUUUUUAUUAAGGCAUUUGAGGAGUAUAAAAUAUACACAAAAACUGAAAGCUACUACAAUAAGAGGAAAGUUCAUUGUGAAUUAAAUUAAUUCUGUAUUUAAGAAAAAAAUGUGAAUGAAUGAUGUUUUUGAUACCUUACAAGUGUUAGUUAUUAACCAGAGAGUGAGAUCAGUUCUCAUAGGAGAGUAACAGUCAGACCAAAAGAUGACAACACAGAAAUGUAACCUGUGCGUUUACCAUUCAGUCUUUUAUAAAAGGACCAGAAAAUAACUCUGGGUGCAAUUUCAUUUUAUUUAUUUAUUUUUUUAAGAAAUUCAGCAGUUGAGGUGUUCAGAGGCAGGAAGACAAUGAGACAAUUUGUAGCAAAUGACAGAUAAACCAUAAUUCUUAGAAAACAUAAUUGGAGUAACUUCAGUGACCUUUUCUAUACAAAGCUGAUCCUUUAUGUGGAAGACAUCUGUAUUUCCUUUGAGAAGAGCACCUGGAGGAAUUAAGCUCCUAUUUAAGAUACCUCAUCUGAAAGCCUAAAAAGUGAGCGCAUCCUGACCAGUGCAUCCUUUUGCCUUCACUGUGCAAACUUACUUUUCAUGUUUUUACAGAGUUAUUUUAGAUUUAUAUACAAAUAUGAAGUGCAAAAUGAAUGUAACCCAGCAUGUUUAUCCUAUUCAUAGUGUUGGAUGAGGCUCCGCUACAUCUAUGCUUCAGUAAAGAUUGUUAAUUUGGUAAAACUUUCAAGAUCAUGAAACACUGUCUGUGCACUGAGCCAAGCAGUCACAAAGCCUACAUCCCUUACAGAGCACAGCACAAGGGCAGGAUGGUGUUACAGCAGAAUACCACUGCACCAUUGUCAUACUUGCGCACUCCUUGCCAGGUAUCUGCCAGAAAGACCUGAGCCUGGGUUGCACUGACGUGUGUGCUGUCAUAGUUCAACCUGUGUUCUGUUUUGUUUUGGUUUUGUUUGUGGGUUGGUUUUUUUGUUUGUUUGUUUGUUUGUUUUGUUGUUGUUGUUUCAAUUUUUUUCUUUUGUUUGUUUUACAUUUUAAUGAAAGAAAAGCGUCCAAAUCUUCCAAUUCAAUUUAAAGAGUGGAUGAUAUGGGGUUGGAGGAAUACCCACAGCUAGACAUUGCUAAGGCUAUGAGGAUGUGAGGAGGAGAAAGGCCAAAAGCAAUGCUAGACAUAAGGGUGCCAUUUAAAACAUGUUGGUAUUAGACAACAGUCAUGAAGGGUAUCUCUUAGGCCAAGUCAUAUCUCUGUGCCAGGAGACGUUUACAUGAUACUUGUCAAGUUCCUUCAUCAGUUCUUGGAGUCAAUGCAGUUUCUUGGAAUCAGUGCAGUUUUAAGUUAUCCAGUGUAAAGAGAAUUUUCCUCUCUUUCUGGUGUAGUCUGGUGUAGCUCAGCAAACACUCCCACACUGCAUCUGGGGUAUCACUCCAUGCAUUCUUCCUCUCAGUCUCAUACUGCUGUAUGGGGAGGAGGAUUCAGCAGACAUUGGAGGUCAACUUCUUAUGGAACAACACAGUCACCACCAUUAACUAUGCAUUUUCACCAAAGGUGAACAAAAGCCUGCAUGUCGUGCUCAUCAUAAUCUGCACCAGCGGAGGUUAACCACUGUCAUCAGGGGACUAAUGUUUAGCCAGUGUAUCAAAAUCCAUAAACUUAUUUUCAAUAACCUGAGCUGGUACUGCACUGCCCUCUGUGCCCUGGUUUCAGCCCAGAUGGGGUUAAGAGCACACUGAUGAUCAGUUGGUGCUGAAGGCCAGGCCAGGCAGAGAAUAGCCACCCUGUGAUGGCACGAGUCAGGGGGCAGCCGCAGCAUGAGCUGUGCUGGGCUAAAUGUGGCCUGCAAGCCACAGCGUGGACAUGCCUGACUAAACAGACAAGGUACCCCUUUCCUCGUCUCUUUACCACUCUUCGCUGUCAGAUCAGAAACAAAAUACAUUAGUUGGUAGCCUGUGUUUUCCUAUCCUGAAAAGAAAUACAUUAGAAAAUGGAGUAAAAAGUAUGAGUAAAUGUUUCUCAUUGUGCUAUUUGUAUUCUGUCUUUUGCAGAGUAUAUUAUAAUGGAUAAAAGGAAUAUUACAUCACCAGAGGCAGAAAUUCAGUGCAUGGUUCACUGCAGAUUACAGAGCCUGAAAAAGCAAAACAAAGACAGUAAACAUGUUGCCUUUUGUUCAUACAACAUAACUAUAGCAGCAAUGACUAGUGGGAAAUUUCUCAACUAACCCUUCAAAUGUAUAUACAUUUUAUAAGCUUCUUGAAAAUUACAGUAAACUUGGAGAAUACUAUUUCUGCAAGCUUUUUGUACUUGAGUAACUCAACGACAGCAUCUUUAACAGAUUUUUACUGGCAUAUUAUAAAUGACGAAUAUAUAUUAUAUCAACACAAAUGCCAAGAAAAAACAACAACAGAAACAACACAGCCCUCCCACCCAAAUCACAUAAUAUAAAGGCAAAUAGCAUUGCUUCCUCCUCACCAGAACUCAGUUGCAUGAUGUGCUUACAGGAAUCAAGCAAAACAGUGAUGUUCAUAUAGUUCAUACAAUUUUGAGUAUCAUAGAUAUGAGCAAGCUGAUUCCAGCUGAGACAUAAACUAUAUUCCCAUGUUUCUGUAUUCACACUAGGCUGGGCAAUCUGAGUAUUACUGUUGUGAUAUUGAGUCUUCUCAAUCGUAGUAAAAUUUUAAGUUCAUUUUUUUCUAACUGGAAUUCCUUCUGAUUUUUGUUCUUAAUUGAAAGAAAGCUAAAGCCCCACAAAUAAUUCUUCUCUACCUAGGUUAAGGCACUUGUUUUUUUUAUCUCAUUACAGAUUUGUAAAAGUAAUUAUUAACACUGCUUUCCUGCUUCUGUUUUAGGAACUAAGAAUAAAUUCCUGCUUACCGUUACAGCAGGAGUGGAGAGAAAAGCAUAUUUAAAAUCAGGUGAAAAAUAUGAGAUACAAAGGAAGACAGAGUUUGUUCUGCAACUGGCUUUACUGGUCUCUUCUAGGAGUUGCCCAAGUCUCCCUGUCUCAGCCUGAAUUCCAGGGGGAUGCCAUGCCACCAUAUCUACACAAAUAAUUGUGCUGUUUCCUUCACCUCAUUUGCAAUGUCACCAGAGGUCUGCAGUUUCCCAUUUUGAUCAAUCCUUCUUUUGAAUUAUCAUGCUCAGUUAGGGCUGUUGCCUGGGGUUAAGCAAGAACAUUUCCUAUUGUGCAGGUCCUCUUCCCAUCGUCUAGUGUGGAUGGUAGACACAGUAACCACAGGUUGCAGCAAAACAUUGGAUGAACAGAUAAUACUUGAGUAUUGAAGUUAAAAACAUGAAAAUUAGUCUCAAUCUUUCACUAUUAAUUUUCCUCCCCCCCCCAAAAAAAAAAGAAAAAAAGAAAAAAAAAGAGUUUAUUGAGCUGCAAGCUGCAGGUGUCUUGCUUUUAAAUUGAGCUUUCAUUGCACUUUAUAUUUGUCCUUAGGUGGAUAACCUCUUUGCUCCAUAUAAAGACCCUACAAGUGAAAUUUUCACACUGUGCCAUUUUAAAAAAUUCUUCUCUCUCGUCUUUCAAAUGUCUGUUUAGAGCUAGUCAUGCUAAAGCUUCUACUACUAAUCAAUGCAGAGAGCAUGUUCUGGUCAUUCACUGUGUCACCACUUUAAAAGGAGAAAAAGACAAACUACUGACAUCUUCAUAACAAGUUACACCAAACUGUAAAUCAGAGGAAAAUUAUUCAUGCUGUGUUCUGGAUGUGACAUAUUUAACUUCAGCCCAGGUUCUCUCUCAUGCUCCACCUGAAUUGUAAAGCAGAUAUCUCAAAUCUAAAAAUUCUUGACAGAGAUAAAAGAGAAAAACUACUCAUGCCAUCAGUGUGGACCAGAAUAUCAAAACACUUUCAGAUUUGCAGGAUAACCAAGACGGGUAUGUUCUACCCAUUCUUAUUCAUUUCUCCAGGUACCAGCACCCAGAUGCAGUAAAGGAGAAAUGAGUCAUGAAAACCCAACCCAUGAAAACCCAACCCAUGAAAACCUAGGCAUUCGGACAGAACAAAGAACAGUAUUUCUUUUGUACUGGGAAGUUAGAAGAGCCAUAACUCUAAUUUUUGCAGCCGGAGUGUCACCAAACAAAAGAGAAAAGAAAUGUUUAUUUGUUUUGUUUUGUUUACUUUCCUAAAUAAGUACUGGAUCUGUUAUUUCUAUCUUUUUUUACAGUAUUUGUGUGGCCUUCUUUGUCAUUUUCGCAUCUUGAAAAUAUUUACAAAUAGAAAUAAUAUGCACUACUCCAUGUGACACAGCUUUCCUGUUAAUGAAUUGAUUUUCAAGAUCACACAAGAUGGUUUUUCUUUGGAUAUUUCAUUCCAAAACCCAGGCAAGUGACCCAGUACUCCCACCAAUAUCUCACUGACAGUCAUCCCACCUCAUGAAUAUACAUACACAAGCUAGCCCAGACUACCUACCUCUUAUCUUGCCUUUUCACCAGUGUUUCUGAACUUGUUGAACCUGUCUAGGUUAGAGUGAAACAGGUAAGGAAAUUACCUAAUUUAUAUUGUCUGGCUGUAUAUUUUCUAAGUCUGAAACAAACAAAUAUUUUAUUUUCAACGACUUUUGAAUGAUUUUUAGUAUCAUUUUCAUGCUUCCAUUUUAUUUCAAGAUGCACAUGAUUUGCUAUAUUUCUGGAAAUAUGGAUAAGCAGUAAUAAAAACUAUUGUCCCAGGGAAAAACAAUAGCUAAAGCAUCUAGUAAUGAAAGAGACUGAAACAGAUCACCAUUGUCAAUCUAUCUUCAGGUAAUUCUCUCUUACAGGAAAUGUGGCUUGCUGAAUUAAUGAGCAACUCCUGGGAUUUUGGUUGGGCAAUCCAAGCCAAUAUCUAUGCUGGUUAAGAUCUUCACUGUCAAUGAAAACAGGAUUAUAUUUUGGAUUCACAGUCUGAACUAAAAACACCAAAGUAGAUGCCAGUGUGUUUGGAUCAGGCAAGUGUUCCUUCUUGGCACCCCCUUUUCUCCACUUUGAAAAUAAAUUUCAGUUUCAGUUUUAUACUAGACAAUUUCUUCGCUGCUACUCACCACAGUUUUCUGUUUCCUUAGAAAGGACAUAAUGCCCUGAGAUACACAGUCAUUGAUGACACCCUCUUUCCUGAACAUAAGCCUUAUGAUGUGCAAGAAUUUUUAACAGUAACCUCUGAAUUGGAAACAUAUUCAAAAAUAGAGACACAGAAUGAGGCUACCUUCUAUGAUCAGUCAGCUUAAGAAUAAUACCUCUCACCUUUUCCAUGGAAGAUGUUCAUCAGCACUCCAGAAACAAAGCUUUCUCACCCACCUGACUGUGCAGCACUUCAUUGUCAACAGCAGAGAGGAGGCACUGAUAAUGCAGCUGAAUCUGUGCUGAAUAUGGAGCUUAUAUGACAGCAGAACUGGACAAACUGCAUUCCCCAGUCUCCCAGCCAGACACUGUUAUUUGGAUUUACAACUGGAGGUUAAAAGCAGUUCGAUGGGACACUGCAAAACAUGACUUACCCACAGUUCUGCACACAAAAGCACUUUACUGAGCAGUAUAUUAUCACAAACUCUACUUUCACAGCUAUCAGUAAAGGCUUAAAACAAUUUUUCAACAUAAUCAUUAUCACUGUGUGUUAUAGAUGGAAAUUGAGAUGUCUGGAUUGCAUAAAGAGUCUUACAAUCUCUUUUCCAUAACAUGAGUAUGGGAUAAACCCAUAUUAAUGGUAUGUACUUCUAUUUGUGGUAGCCAUCCCAUCUUACUAUAACGUAAAGGAGAAUUUGCACCUAAAACAUCAUGCUUAACAACAGGUAUCUUUUGCAAUUCUGUCCAGUCUUCUUUAAUCUUAUUUUUCUACUGCUUACCUUCAAAGCAUCCUGUGGCAAUAAGCAGUAUAUUUAUGCAGUCUUGAAAAUUUUAGUAUUUUUUCUUUAUCUCAGAUCUUUUGACCCAUAAUUUAAGUUUUUUCCUUUAGUUACUCUGUUACGAGAAGCAGUAAAUAUCAUUUCUGGUUCAUGGUGGUUUUUGACGUAAUUUUUCCCCUGAUAUCUUCUUGUUCAUACUGAGAAAUAAUAAUGAGGAUAACCACAGCCCCAACAUUUGUGGCACACCGUUUGUACCAAAUUUUUCUGAUGGUACAAGCCACUUACAUUUGAUUUGUUUCAUUUUCCUUCCUUGGCUGUUCCUACCUUUUGUUAGACUUUCUGGCUUCCACUGAUCAUGGAGCUGGCAUUUACACAGAGCUGUCAACAGUGACUCCUCUUUCUUCUCAUUAAGAAAAAAAAAACAGUUUUAAGUGUAUAUAACACUGGUAUUUUCUUUCCAUGCACAAAACUCUGACUGUAUCGAUACUGACUUUCACCUCUUGUUUUAUUUCCCCAUUUCCCAUGCACCUGCUAACCUGGUAAUGAAAUUUUCCUUUUAUUUAUUUAUUUCUUUGUUUGUUUAUUUUGUCAGCUUUAGUUUAGUCCAUUUUAAGGCUUUCUUUGAGGAAAGCUUUUGCAUAAAGCUCAAAGAAAGUUAAAAACAGUUUGAGAAGAAAGAAUUUGGCUUUCAGUGACUUGGAUCAGAGUAUAUGUGGAACAUUGCUGAUCCAGGAUAAACAGUGGGAAAGCUAAAGCAAUAGUUUCCGAUUUUAAAAUGUUUUGGAUCGUGACACUUCAUCCUAAGUCUAAUAAUGACAGUCCUUUCUAAGCAGCAUUACAAAUAGGUUCCACAGAACAACCCUUUUCAACAAAGAUUUUCAAAAUUUCUAGGCAAUUAUUUUAUGUAAUACUCAGCUACAGGAACUUCCACUGAGCAAUGCUAGUUCCUCUGAAGUCUCAUGCCAUCAAUCAUCAUCCAUAUUGUUUUGAUCAAAAUAGAUUCACUGCACCAUGUUACCUGAUUGCACAGAAUAUUUUCUGAAAGUUUACUCAGUUAAAAGAUUGUAAGUGCAUAUUUUUACUGUGAUCCUUCAGUGUAGAGACGGCGAGCAGCAUCUCCCAUGUCACCAUGCAAAGUACAUGAAAGACCACAGCUGCAUUUCUGCAGUCUUGCAUCCUAUCAUCAUGAUGGCUAUAUACAGUCCUACUCACUCAGGAUAGCUGCAUUUUAGUAUAUGCAUUUCAUUUCUAGGUGUUUAUAUCAAAAUUUCAUUCAUGGGAGCAUUCUGUGUCAAGUACACCCAAGAUUCAAUAAAAAGAAUAUCAUGCCCAGAAAUAUAACCUAUAAAUAACCUAAAAAUAACCUAUAUAAAUCCUGCAGUUUUAUUCUGCCACAGCUGUUCAGUGAAGUACUGCAGCAUUAUCACUAUAUUUUGCAGAUAUUUACUGUGCCUGCUUUUGGCUGUCUCCAACUGGACA